Molecule: ribosomal RNA, 255 nt
Filed under: uncultured bacterium
Lineage: Bacteria
Description: partial 16S ribosomal RNA
Rfam family: Bacterial small subunit ribosomal RNA
Source: RNAcentral
UACGAAGGGUGCAAGCGUUACUCGGAAUUACUGGGCGUAAAGCGUGCGUAGGCGGUUUGUUAAGUCCGUUGUGAAAGCCCUGGGCUCAACCUGGGAAUUGCAGUGGAUACUGGCGAGCUAGAGUGCGGUAGAGGAUAGGUGGAAUUCCCGGUGUAGCGGUGAAAUGCGUAGAGAUCGGGAGGAACACCCGUGGCGAAGGCGGCCAUCUGGACCAGCACUGACGCUGAGGCACGAAAGCGUGGGGAGCAAACAGGG